This 1630-nucleotide long non-coding RNA is filed under the name Homo sapiens (human). RNAcentral's name for it is "EGR3 and PEBP4 antisense RNA 1 (EGR3-AS1)". The record is from RNAcentral. Lineage: Eukaryota; Metazoa; Chordata; Mammalia; Primates; Hominidae.
AAGGUUUGUGUUUCUUUGGGCAGGAGCCUACUGUGAUCAGAGCUGGGGGAGCCAGUGUGAGCAGCAGGUGCAAUGAAAGGAUGUGGGAGUUUGAGACCCAUCUCUGCUGUGUGGCCCUGGCCAUGUGCAGUGGGUAAGUACAUCAGCAAGCAAACUGGCCUCAAGAAUCCCGCCCUAUCCUGGGCAUCUGGGGUUGAGGCUGGCUGUGCCAACCUUUGCACAGGGUUUCAAUCUGACCUCACUCAGAAAACGGAGCCACUUGCUUAGAGUCCCUCUCUCUGAACACGCUCUCCCCUCUGGAGGAAAAGCAUUGCAAUCCCAAGCUCCUGCUGCUGCCGUACAUCUGCAUCUUAUUCAUCUUUGAAGCUCCUGCAAUGCCUCCAACGGGGACACAACUAAAGGAAGCUCUCAGAACGCCCAGCUAUCCCCACUGCAGAAGGCUCUCCCUGAAAGGGCACAGGUGGAGGACGUUUGCAUUUAUCUGGAGACAGUUCAUGGAGAAACACAAAGAGGUGUCCUGACAAGACAACAGGUCCACAGCAGUCGUCAUCAUGAGUGCUCACCAUAUGCCAGGGUUCAUCUUUUAAAAUCCUUAACCAAACAACCAAACUGUGGUUGGGAUUAUUCUCUUUUUAUAGGUGAGAAAACUGAGGCUGAAAGCCAUUGGGUGGUUUGCCAAAGCUGAGAAGUAGCUGAGCUGGGGUUUGUACUCACACCACGGUGACUCGGAGGCCCAAGCCAGUUCUGACACACUGCCUUCCCAUGACAUUCCCACGACAGGUUCCCGAGGUCGUUGGAAUGCUUACACAUUUCAGCAACUUCAUGGCAACUGCCCAGCUCGACCCAGAAGAUAAUACUACCUUGUACUCCCCCUGCCGCUUCCUUCCUCCAGGCAGCUCACAGACAUGACCUCAUUCCCUCUCCCAGAGUCCCAUAGGGGUGAAGGACAGGGUGGGGAUCGUUAACUCUGCUUCCUAGGGAGGAAAGGGAGGCCCAGAGAGGGAUGCUGGCCCACCCUGGGUCAUCCAGCCAGCUAGCGGGAGAGCUGCAACUGGAAAUCAGGCUUCCCUGCCCUCGGGGACAGUUAUUUAGCCUCCUGGAUGUGAGCUAGAAUCACCCCUAAGAUGCAGCAAUUGGGGUACUCCUCUUGGGGUACUGGGACUCAGUGGCUGAAACAGCUCCAAGAGAGUUGGGCCUGUGCUGAAAACAGAAAUCCGAGAUGCAUAUAAAUUCAAUCCGUAUGAGAAGAGCAGGGUGGCCUGGGAGGAGUGGUCACCGCAGUGGCUCCACCUCCUACCCGGCCACCUGCAGCCCUGCCUGGGCUGCUCUUGGUCUCUCUGUGCCCAGCUUCCCUGGCCGGAUGCCCUGGGGGCCAGAGCAGCCGCAGGUGCGAUGAAAAGAACACUGGCCUUGAGGUCAUGGGACCUGGGGAGGAUAUUCACCAGGGGCCCCUAAGUUAGUCAUUUUAGCUCUCAGCUUUUCCAUUUUUCAUUCAAAAAAUGGGGACUCUAACUCCAUGAAAGAGACAUUGUGUGUGAAAUAUUUCAUCAUAAGCUGUGAAGCCUGCAAAGAAACUCCUGGUGUUCUCUGUAGCCUGAUUUCAUCUCUACUAAACGCUAUUUUGAAAAUG